UACGGAGGGGUUAGCGUGUUCGGAAGUUACUGGCGUAAGCGCACGUAGGCGGAUUGGAAAGUUGGGGGUGGAAAUCCCCAGGGCUCAAACCCUGGAACGUGCCUCCAAAACUACCCAGUCUGGAGUUCGAGAGAGGUGAGUGGAAUUCCGAGUGUAGAGGUGAAAUUCGUAGAUAUUCGGAGGAACACCAGUGGCGAAGGCGGCUCACUGGCUCGAUACUGACGCUGAGGUGCGAAAGUGUGGGGAGCAAACAGGAUUAGAUACCCGCGUAGU
This 273-nucleotide ribosomal RNA is filed under the name uncultured bacterium. RNAcentral's name for it is "partial 16S ribosomal RNA". It matches the Rfam family "Bacterial small subunit ribosomal RNA", at positions 524 to 794 of the family's 1533-position model. The record is from RNAcentral.